RNAcentral lists this ribosomal RNA (484 nucleotides) under uncultured bacterium. RNAcentral describes it as "partial 16S ribosomal RNA". It matches the Rfam family "Bacterial small subunit ribosomal RNA", at positions 30 to 507 of the family's 1533-position model. The record is from RNAcentral.
AUUGAACGCUGGCGGCAGGCCUAACACAUGCAAGUCGAGCGGAUGAAGGGAGCUUGCUCCUGGAUUCAGCGGUGGACGGGUGAGUAAUGCCUAGGAAUCUGCCUGGUAGGGGGGGAUAACGUCCGGAAACGGGCGCUAAUACCGCAUACGUCCUGAGGGAGAAAGUGGGGGAUCUUCGGACCUCACGCUCUCAGAUGAGCCUAGGGCGGAUUAGCUAGUUGGUGGGGUAAAGGCCUACCAAGGCGACGAUCCGUAACUGGUCUGAGAGGAUGAUCAGUCACACUGGAACUGAGACACGGUCCAGACUCCUACGGGAGGCAGCAGUGGGGAAUAUUGGACAAUGGGCGAAAGCCUGAUCCAGCCAUGCCGCGUGUGUGAAGAAGGUCUUCGGAUUGUAAAGCACUUUAAGUUGGGAGGAAGGGCAGUAAGUUAAUACCUUGCUGUUUUGACGUUACCAACAGAAUAAGCACCGGCUAACUUCGUG